Molecule: ribosomal RNA, 304 nt
Filed under: Candidatus Woesearchaeota archaeon
Lineage: Archaea; Nanobdellati; Candidatus Woesearchaeota
Description: partial 16S ribosomal RNA
Rfam family: Archaeal small subunit ribosomal RNA
Source: RNAcentral
ACACGCGCGCAACAAUGGUAGGAACAAUAGGAUGCAACUCCGAAAGGAGAAGCCAAUCCCCAAAAUCCUAUCCUAGUUCAGAUCGAGGUUUGUAACUCAACCUCGUGACGCUGGAAUCCCUAGUAAUCAGGCGUUAUCAGCGCCUGGUGAACAUGUCCCUGCUCCUUGCACACACCGCCCGUCAAACCACCCGAGCAGGGUUUAAAUGAGGCUUAAUUUUAAAUUAAGUCAAAUCUAGACUCAGCGAGGAGGGUUAAGUCGUCACAAGGUAGCCGUAGGGGAACCUGCGGCUGGAUCACCUCCU